RNAcentral lists this ribosomal RNA (501 nucleotides) under uncultured bacterium. RNAcentral's name for it is "partial 16S ribosomal RNA". It matches the Rfam family "Bacterial small subunit ribosomal RNA", at positions 899 to 1397 of the family's 1533-position model. The record is from RNAcentral.
ACUCAAAGGAAUUGACGGGGACCCGCACAAGCGGUGGAGCAUGUGGUUUAAUUCGAGGCAACGCGAAGAACCUUACCAGGCCUUGACAUGGAUAGUAUGGAUCUCAGAAAAGGGAUCCUUCAGUUUGGCUGGCUAUUCACAGGUGCUGCAUGGCUGUCGUCAGCUCGUGUCGUGAGAUGUUGGGUUAAGUCCCGCAACGAGCGCAACCCUUAUUCUUAGUUGCCAACAGGUCAAGCUGGGAACUCUAAGAAAACUGCCGGUGAUAAGCCGGAGGAAGGUGGGGAUGACGUCAAGUCUUCAUGGCCCUUACGGUCUGGGCUACACACGUGCUACAAUGGCGGUGACAAUGGGCAGCCAACCCGCGAGGGUGAGCUAAUCUCAAAACGCCGUCUCAGUUCGGAUUGCACUCUGCAACUCGAGUGCAUGAAGCUGGAAUCGCUAGUAAUCGUAGAUCAGCAUGCUACGGUGAAUACGUUCCCGGGUCUUGUACACACCGCCCGU